RNAcentral lists this long non-coding RNA (705 nucleotides) under Ananas comosus (pineapple). RNAcentral's name for it is "long non-coding RNA (ACOM_LNC041251)". Lineage: Eukaryota; Viridiplantae; Streptophyta; Magnoliopsida; Poales; Bromeliaceae. The record is from RNAcentral.
UUUUUUUUAUUUUAAUUUUAUUAUUUAAUUUUUUUUAUUUUGAUUUGACUAGGUCAAUAAUAGCACUUUAGCUUUUUGGUUUUAAAAUUUAAAUAUAAUAUUUAUUUUUAUAGAUUUAAUUAGAAUAAUAAUUUUUGUAAUUAUAAAUUGAGAGUUAAAGUACUAUUAAUCCGCUAAAAUAAAACAAAAUGAAAAAUUGGAUUGUAAAAUUAAAUCUUUAAAAAAUUUUGUAGUCAAAGCAAAAUGAUUUAUAGCUCAUGAGUUCGGCUACUAUACUCUUAUGAGUAUGAAGCCUUUUGUACUCAUAAGUUUUUGACUGUUAGAUCUGCCCUUUAAUCAUUUUUAUCCGUUAGAUUAUACUAUUCAACCAACUACUUAUUCAACCCUAAUCCUAGGGAGCCCACCAUCAACCUAACCGUAACCACUCUUAUUCUAACCGUAUAUUUUUUCAUCUGAACAACUGAAAAUUUAUCAGUACAAAAAACUCUAUGCUCAUAUAAGUAUAGUAGCCCCAGCCUAUAGUUCAUAUAUAUUUUAUAUAUUUUAACCUAAUUUUUUUUAAAAUAUACUUCUCAAUUGAAUAAAAUCCAAAAAAAAAAAGAGCUACAUCACUUUUUAUUAAAUUCAACUAAAUAAAAUACAUAUUAUUAAUAAUUAUAUAUAUUUUUAAUUUUAACUUUAACUAUUUGGAAUUUAUAAUUAUAU